Molecule: ribosomal RNA, 837 nt
Filed under: Cercospora subulata
Lineage: Eukaryota; Fungi; Ascomycota; Dothideomycetes; Mycosphaerellales; Mycosphaerellaceae
Description: LSU rRNA
Rfam family: Eukaryotic large subunit ribosomal RNA
Source: RNAcentral
ACCUCAGUAACGGCGAGUGAAGCGGUAACAGCUCAAAUUUGAAAGCUGGCUCUUUUAGGGUCCGCGUUGUAAUUUGUAGAAGAUGCUUCGGGUGUGGCCCCGGUCUAAGUUCCUUGGAACAGGACGUCAUAGAGGGUGAGAAUCCCGUAUGUGACUGGGUGCCUUCGCUCAUGUGAAGCUCUUUCGACGAGUCGAGUUGUUUGGGAAUGCAGCUCAAAAUGGGUGGUAAAUUUCAUCUAAAGCUAAAUAUUGGCCAGAGACCGAUAGCGCACAAGUAGAGUGAUCGAAAGAUGAAAAGCACUUUGGAAAGAGAGUUAAACAGUACGUGAAAUUGUUGAAAGGGAAGCGCUUGCAACCAGACUUGCGCGCUGAUGAUCAUCCGGGCUUCUGCCCGGUGCACUCGUCUGCGCUCAGGCCAGCAUCGGUUUCGGUGGUGGGAUAAAGGCCUUGGGAAUGUAGCUCCUCUCGGGGAGUGUUAUAGCCCUCGGUGCAAUGCCGCCUACCGGGACCGAGGACCGCGCUUCGGCUAGGAUGCUGGCGUAAUGGUUGUAAGCGACCCGUCUUGAAACACGGACCAAGGAGUCUAACAUCUAUGCGAGUGUUUGGGUGUCAAACCCAUACGCGUAAUGAAAGUGAACGGAGGUGAGAACCCUUAAGGGUGCAUCAUCGACCGGUCCUGAUGUCUUCGGAUGGAUCUGAGUAAGAGCAUAGCUGUUGGGACCCGAAAGAUGGUGAACUAUGCGUGAAUAGGGUGAAGCCAGAGGAAACUCUGGUGGAGGCUCGCAGCGGUUCUGACGUGCAAAUCGAUCGUCAAAUUUGCGUAUAGGGCGAAAGACU